Long non-coding RNA from Strigops habroptila (Kakapo), 825 nucleotides. RefSeq lists it as uncharacterized. NCBI's taxonomy places the organism in Eukaryota, Metazoa, Chordata, Aves, Psittaciformes, Psittacidae. The record is from RefSeq and is a predicted model, not a curated record. The transcript has 3 exons.
UCCUCGCUUCACGGUUUGGCACUUGUGAAGCCGGCAGCGCUCCUUGAUGCGCGCACGAGCACCGAGGGAGAGGCGCGAGGGAGACCCGGCAGAAAGGGACGGUCUUCCUGCGGCGGAGCGAGAGUCGCGGGUCUCGGUCUGCGCCCUGUGCCUCGGGCCUUCGCCCUAUCUCGUACCUCACAGGGGAGACCGCGGCUCUCCUCGGGACGUCCCCUAAGGAGAAGUACUGCGAGUGUGGGUUGACAGUGGGAAGUUCCUGUCCCACUAAAAUGGCUUUUCUGAAACAAACACGGAUUGAACUGUAAAAGAAUCAAAAAUCCUCUGUCCUCUGCUGUUCUGAAGCAUAUUUGCUUUUAGUAUUCAGUCCAACACACAGAAUGAGAGGAUUUCCCAGCUGGCUUUGUUACAACAUUAAGCCUUGUAACAUACCCUGGGGUCACUCCCGAGCAAAAAAGAAGGAGUUUGAAAGAAAACAUUGAUUUCCAAGGGCAGCUCGUUCCAAGGAUAGUUCCUGCACAGAAACAAAGCCUACGAAAACACCAGUUGCAAGUCAGUCCUUAAGUUCUGGUUUCCGUACUGAAUGAUCUUACCAUGUCAGUGCUGGAGGAAGGUCAAGCCCAAGUUACUUUCUCGCUGAUACUUUGCUGAUGUUCCUCCAACCCAGAAGUAACAAGGUGCCACAGCUAAUGAAGUCACAAGGCAGAAAACCACUGUGUCAUCGGAAUGGAAGUAAAGAUGCCUCUGCAAUUCAAUCCUCAGCAGCAAAAAAUACAAGUGUUGUGACAAGAGGAAGUGCAAAUAAUUAAAUAACAAAAGAUCAAAUGA